GCUAGGUGUGGUGGCUCACACCUGUAAUCCUAGCACUUUGGGAAGCUGAGGCAGGUGGAUCACCUGAGGUCAGGAGUUUGAGACCAGCCUGACCAACAUGGUGAAACCCCGUCUCUA
Molecule: unclassified non-coding RNA, 117 nt
Organism: Pongo abelii (Sumatran orangutan)
Lineage: Eukaryota; Metazoa; Chordata; Mammalia; Primates; Hominidae
Rfam family: Metazoan signal recognition particle RNA
About the family: The signal recognition particle (SRP) is a universally conserved ribonucleoprotein.
Source: Ensembl